UGAGGAAUAUUGGGCAAUGCCCGCAAGGGUGACCCAGCAACGCCGCGUGGAGGAUGAAUGUCGUAAGAUUGUAAACUCCUGUUAGAGGGGAAGAAUAGUACCGGUUGGACCGGUAUAUGACUGUACCCUCAGAGAAAGCCCCGGCUAACUACGUGCCAGCAGCCGCGGUAAUACGUAGGGGGCAAGCGUUGUCCGGAUUUACUGGGUGUAAAGGGCGCGCAGGCGGGAUAAAAAGUCAGUGGUGAAAUCCUACAGCUUAACUGUAGAACUGCCUUUGAUACUUUUACUCUUGAGUUCGGGAGAGAGAGACGGAAUUCCAGGUGUAGUGGUGAAAUACGUAGAUAUCUGGAAGAACACCAGUUGCGAAGGCGGUCUCUUGGUCCGACACUGACGCUGAGGCGCGAAAGCGUGG
RNAcentral lists this ribosomal RNA (412 nucleotides) under uncultured bacterium. RNAcentral's name for it is "bacterial SSU rRNA". It matches the Rfam family "Bacterial small subunit ribosomal RNA", at positions 355 to 764 of the family's 1533-position model. The record is from RNAcentral.